RNAcentral lists this ribosomal RNA (119 nucleotides) under Pseudotaxus chienii. The record is from RNAcentral. Lineage: Eukaryota; Viridiplantae; Streptophyta; Pinopsida; Cupressales; Taxaceae.
AGGUGCGAUUAUACCAGUGUUUGUGCACUGGAUCCCAUCAGAACUCCACAGUUAAGUGUACUUGGGCCAGAGUAGUACUAGGAUGGGUGACCUCGAGGGAAGUCCCACUGUCGGGCCUU